This 336-nucleotide long non-coding RNA is filed under the name Equus caballus (horse). RNAcentral describes it as "lncRNA (ENSECAG00000046779.1)". The record is from RNAcentral. Lineage: Eukaryota; Metazoa; Chordata; Mammalia; Perissodactyla; Equidae.
GAGGAAGAGAAAAAUCAGAAGAAAGUGAUGUCACAGAGGCAGAGGGAGGAGUUUCUGAGAAGAGGGAAUGGCCACAGUGCAAACAGCUCAGCAAUAACAGGCCUCAGCCACAAAGAACCAGCCAUCCUGGCCAACUCAGAAUGUGGAGACAUCGUCCUUCUGUGCUGUUCCAUGCACAUUUCUCCUCCUCAUCUUCCCUUCUGCCUUGACUGGAUCAUAAUUCUGACGUGAGAGGAUGAGUACGUUGUAUGCUUGGCCUAUCCCAACUGUUCAUAAUUACAAUACACCACCAAUUUUGUAUCAGGCAAAGCACUUUUUAUAUGCAUCCUUUAAAUU